AUGGAUCUACUACCGCCGGCGUCAGAGGCGCCGGCCGGUGGCGGCGCAGUUGGGGGCCGAGGGCUGCGACGCGGGGUCGGGUUCCCGUCGCUCAAGCUGGUGAACGUGUCCAUGGAAGAGGCCCUCCCAGCCGAGCCCGUCGGCGUCGCCUACGGCCGCCUCACCAACGGACUCACCUACUACGUCCGCUCCAACCCCAAGCCCCGCAUGCGCGCAGCCCUCUCCCUCGCCGUCAAGGUCGGGUCGGUGGUGGAGGAGGAGGACGAGCGCGGGGUGGCGCAUAUCGUCGAGCACCUCGCCUUCAGCGCAACGUCACGCUACACCAAUCACGACAUCGUUAGGUUCCUCGAGAGCAUUGGCGCAGAGUUUGGCGCCUGCCAGAACGCUCUCACUUCCUCUGACGAAACCAUCUAUGAGCUGCUCGUGCCUGUGGACAAGCCCGGACUGCUCUCCCAGGCAAUCUCCGUCCUCGCAGAGUUCAGCUCCGAGGUUCGGGUUUCAGCGGAGGAUCUGGAGAAAGAAAGGGGUGCUGUGCUGGAGGAAUACAGGGGCGGGCGCAACGCCACUGGGCGGAUGCAGGACUCCCACUGGACAUUGUUGUUUGAGGGUUCUAAGUAUGCAGAAUGUUUGCCGAUAGGUACAGAGAAGGUGAUACGGACUGUUACACAUGAGGCAGUUAGAAAUUUUUAUCAUAAGUGGUACAAUCUAAGCAAUAUGGCUGUCUUUGCAGUGGGAGACUUCCCAGAUACACAGGCUGUUGUUGAGUUAAUAAAGGAGCAUUUUGGUCAGAAAGCCUCAAUUUCCUGCCCUCCACUGGUUAUACCGGAGUUUCCAGUUCCAUCGCAUAUUGAACCUCGAUUUUCAUGCUUUGUGGAAUCCGAAGCUGCAGGGUCAGCUGUUGUUAUUAGCUGCAAGAUGCCUGCCGGUGAAAUUAAAACAGUCAAGGAUUAUAGGGACUCAUUGGCAGAAUCAAUUUUCCAUUGUGCUCUGAACCAGAGGCUCUUCAAACUAUCUCGUAGGAGGGAUCCUCCAUACUUCUCUUGCUCUUCAGCUGCAGAUGCUCUUGUCCGUCCGGUGAAGGCAUAUAUUAUGACAUCCAGUUGUCGCGAAAAAGGCACGGUUGAGGCUCUUGAGUCUAUGCUAGUGGAGGUUGCUAGGGCACGGCUCUAUGGAUUUUCUGAACGUGAGAUAUCCAUUGUGCGUGCUUUAAUGAUGUCAGAGAUCGAGUCUGCAUAUCUGGAGCGUGAUCAAAUGCAAUCAACCAGCUUACGUGAUGAGUAUCUGCAGCAUUUUCUUCGCGAGGAGCCUGUUGUCGGGAUUGAAUAUGAAGCACGGUUGCAGAAGACUCUUCUUCCAUACAUUUCUUCUGCUGAAGUGGUGAAGUUUGCGGAAAAUUUUUCAACAACCAGUAGCUGUGUUAUCAAGAUAGUUGAGCCCCGGGCCCAUGCUUCUCUGGAGGAUCUGAAAGCUGUUGUAUUGAAAGUUAACACUCUAGAAGAAAAGAGGAGUAUUCCUCCCUGGGAGGAAGAGCAAAUCCCUGAAGAAAUUGUUAGCCAAAGUCCAGUGCCAGGAAUUAUUGUUGAUAAAGUGGAGCACCCAGGCAUAGGUGCCACUGAGAUGAUACUAUCUAAUGGGAUGCGAGUUUGCUACAAGUGUACUGACUUUCUUGAUGAUCAGGUUGUUUUUACUGGGUUUGCCUAUGGUGGCCUGUCCGAAUUAUCUGAAGAUGAAUAUACUUCAUGCACAAUGGGCUCGACAAUAGCAGGAGAAAUUGGUAUUUUUGGCUACAGACCUUCUGUCUUGAUGGACAUGCUUGCUGGCAAGAGAGCUGAAGUUGGUACAAAAGUUGGGGCGUACAUGAGAUCAUUUUCUGGCGAUUGUUCACCUUCAGAUCUUGAGAUUGGUUUACAGCUUGUCUACCAACUAUUUACAACAAAGGUGGAGCCAAGGGAGGAAGAAGUAAAAAUAGUCAUGCAAAUGGCGGAGGAAGCUAUCUAUGCUCAGGAAAGAGAUCCUUACACUGCAUUUGCAAAUCGUUCACGGGAAAUAAAUUAUGGGAACUCCUACUUCUUUAAGCCAAUUAGAAUAAGUGAUUUGAAGAAAGUGAAUCCAAUCAGAGCAUGUGAAUAUUUCAACAUGUGCUUCAAGGAUCCAUCAGCUUUUACCGUUGUAGUAGUUGGAAACAUAGACCCAGCCAUCUCAAUCCCACUGAUUUUGGAGUACCUGGGUGGGAUACCAAAGGUACAGGAUACAGUUCAGCCACUUAGUCGUGAGGAUCUAAAGGGAUUGCCCUUCAAGUUUCCGGAAACCAUAAUUAGAGAAGUUGUCCGCAGCCCUAUGGUUGAAGCUCAGUGCUUCGUCCAACUAGGGUUUCCAGUGGUUCUAAAGAGCACAAUGAUGACGGAGGAUAUUCACUAUGUCGGAUUUUUAAGUAAACUUCUCGAAACAAAAAUCAUGCAAGUACUCCGCUUCAAAUAUGGACAGGUCUACUCAGUUAAUGUAGGUGUCUUCUUAGGUGGCAACAAACCUUCUAGAAGUGGAGAUGUUCGUGGAGACAUAAGUGUGAAUUUCUCAUGCGAUCCAGACAUGUCAUCUAGGCUUGUUGAUUUUGUUCUGGAAGAGAUAUCAUAUCUACAGACAGAAGGCCCUUCUGAAGAAGAUGUAUGGACCAUCCUAGAAAUUGAACAAAGAGCACAUGAAAACGGAUUGCAGGAAAAUUAUUACUGGUUGGAUCGAAUUCUGCGGAGCUAUCAAUCAAGGAUUUAUUCGGGAGAUGUUGGAUCCACCUUCAUGGUUCAAGAUGAGGGACGUGUAAAAGUUAGAGAAGCUUUAACACCACAGGCCAUGCAAAUGGCCUUGCGAAGGGUGAUAUCUUUCCCAUGUAAAAAACAGUACACGGUAGUAAUUCUUAUGCCUAAGUCAUCUUGUUGGAAUUCGUUGAUAUCGGUGGUUUGUUGGAGUUCUGGUGGAUUUAGCAGAGAUGCAAAGAUUUUGGCUGGCAUGGCUGGUGCACUGGUCGUAGCAGCCAGUUUGUGGAGAUACUCACGGGGUGCAUUGAGAUCGUAG
RNAcentral lists this ribosomal RNA (3066 nucleotides) under Triticum aestivum (bread wheat). RNAcentral's name for it is "partial small subunit ribosomal RNA". Lineage: Eukaryota; Viridiplantae; Streptophyta; Magnoliopsida; Poales; Poaceae. The record is from RNAcentral.